This is a long non-coding RNA of Pecten maximus, 1273 nucleotides long. RefSeq lists it as uncharacterized. The record is from RefSeq and is a predicted model, not a curated record. NCBI's taxonomy places the organism in Eukaryota, Metazoa, Mollusca, Bivalvia, Pectinida, Pectinidae. The transcript is spliced from 4 exons.
CCAUGAUUUCAGAAAGAAAUUUAUGCAGACAAAGGGCGAGGUGUAAAAACAAUCAAUUAAAGGCGGCAUGGCGACCUCCUUCUCCCUUACCAUGAAUCUAUGAUUUCAAAAGAAAAAUGGGACAGAAGGGAAUAGCAAAGAAGCUCUGGAUUUAGUCGGGGGUUUUUUUGACUGAAGGAAACAGUUCUGUGUGGAUGCAACCGAAGAAAAUGAAUAAUUGGGAGACUGGUAAACCUGGUGAUGUAUGGCAAACAUUCCAAGCAAAACAUGAAAUGUGUUGAUGGCCACCUAUGUCACUUUUCAACAAGGCUAAAUAUGGAGGGCAAGGCUACAGCGCAAGUCCUUUGUCAGAAGGUCAUGGACAAUUCAGGAAAAGGCUGUAGUACAACAGCAACUAUAGGGAAAAUCUUUUGCUGAAAAUGUUACGAGGAAAGGCUAAUUGUUAAGAGGUCCUCCGAAAAGAACCAGUGUUGCAUGGCAGAACCUGGAAACAAAAUAAGGACCUCAUCUGGAACUGUAAUAUAAGAAGACAGCCAAGAAGAAUUUGCUUGUAUCAGAUCAGGCUGUUAGUGAGACUAUAUGAUAUUGCUGCCUAUUGAUUGUGUGUAUCCAAUAUGGUUGUCGGUUGACUGUAUAUCAGAUGUGACUAUCAGUUGACUGUGUGUAUCAGAUAUGGUUGUCAGUUGACAAUGUGUAUCAGAUAUGGCUGUCAGUUGAUAGUGUGUAUCGGAUAUGGCUGUCAGUUUACAGUGUAUAUAAGAUGUGGGUGUCAGUACAGUGUGUAUCAGAUAUGGCUGUCAGCUGGCUAUCAGAUGUGGCUGUCAGUUGACAAUGUGUAUCAGAUAUGGCUGUCGGUUGAUAGUGUGUAUCGGAUUUGGCUGUCAGUUGACAAUGCGUAUCAGAUAUGGCUGUCAGUUGACUGUGUGUAUCGAUUAUGGCUGUCAGUUGACAUUGUGUAUCAUAUAUGGCUGUCGGUUGAUAGUGUGUAUCGGAUAUGGCUGUAAGUUGACAAUGUGUAUCAGAUAUGGCUUUCAGUUGACGGUGUGUAUCAGAUAUAGCUGUCAGUAAGGUGUGUAUAAGAUAUGGCUGUCAGUACAGUGUGUAUCAGAUAAGGCUGUCAGUUGUUUAUAUCAGAUAUGGCUGUCAUUUGUCUAUAUCUGUCAUUGCUGUUAGUGGCACUAUCAAAUAUGACUAUGAAUGACGUAUAUAUUAGAACUGUAUUUUUCGUAUCAAUCAGUGUUAACAAAAAUGAAAAAUAAAUAUGUUGAGUAUA